This is a long non-coding RNA of Mytilus trossulus (common blue mussel), 2254 nucleotides long. RefSeq lists it as uncharacterized. The record is from RefSeq and is a predicted model, not a curated record. The transcript is spliced from 3 exons. NCBI's taxonomy places the organism in Eukaryota, Metazoa, Mollusca, Bivalvia, Mytilida, Mytilidae.
UUGUCCAAAUUUCCUCUAGGUGGUGUAAAGGAUCAAAAGGAAAGGUAUGUUAAGAUAAGAUUGUGUGCAUGUUUAAAUGUCUUUUUGUCCAAAUUUCUUCUAGGUGGCGUCGAAAGGACAGGUAUGUUAAGAUAAGAUUGUGUGCAUGAAUGUAUGUCUUUUUGUCCAAAUUUCCUCUAGGUGCGUCAAAGGAUCAAACGACAGGUAUGUUAAGAUAAGAUUGUGUGCAUUUUUGUAUGUAUUUUUGUCCAAAUUUCCUCUAGGUGGUGUAAAGGAUUAAAAGGAAAGGUAUGUUAAGAUAAGAUUGUGUGCAUGUUUAAAUGUCUUUUUGUCCAAAUUUCUUCUAGGUGGCGUCAAAAGGACAGGUAUGUUAAGAUAAGAUUGUGUGCAUUUUUGUAUGUCUUUUUGUCCAAAUUUCCUCUAGGUGGCGUCAAAGGAUCAAAAGGACAGGUAUAUUAAGAUAAGAUUGUGUGCAUGUUUAAAUGUCUUUUUGUCCAAAUUUCUUCUAGGUGGCGUCAAAAGGACAGGUAUGUUAAGAUAAGAUUGUGUGCAUUUUUGUAUGUCUUUUUGUCCAAAUUUCCUCUAGGUGGCGUCAAAGGAUCAAAAGGACAGGUAUAUUAAGAUAAGAUUGUGUGCAUGAAUGUAUGUCAUUUUGUCCAAAUUUCCUCUAGGUGGUGUAAAGGAUCAAAAGGAAAGGUAUGUUAAGAUAAGAUUGUGUGCAUGUUUAAAUGUCUUUUUGUCCAAAUUUCUUCUAGGUGGCGUCGAAAGGACAGGUAUGUUAAGAUAAGAUUGUGUGCAUGAAUGUAUGUCUUUUUGUCCAAAUUUCCUCUAGGUGGUGUAAAGGAUCAAAAGGAAAGGUAUGUUAAGAUAAGAUUGUGUGCAUGUUUAAAUGUCUUUUUGUCCAAAUUUCUUCUAGGUGCGUCAAAGGAUCAAACGACAGGUAUGUUAAGAUAAGAUUGUGUGCAUUUUUGUAUGUAUUUUUGUCCAAAUUUCCUCUAGGUGGUGUAAAGGAUCAAAAGGAAAGGUAUGUUAAGAUAAGAUUGUGUGCAUGUUUAAAUGUCUUUUUGUCCAAAUUUCUUCUAGGUGGCGUCAAAAGGACAGGUAUGUUAAGAUAAGAUUGUGUGCAUUUUUGUAUGUCUUUUUGUCCAAAUUUCCUCUAGGUGGCGUCAAAGGAUCAAAAGGACAGGUAUAUUAAGAUAAGAUUGUGUGCAUGAAUGUAUGUCAUUUUGUCCAAAUUUCCUCUAGGUGGUGUAAAGGAUCAAAAGGAAAGGUAUGUUAAGAUAAGAUUGUGUGCAUGUUUAAAUGUCUUUUUGUCCAAAUUUCUUCUAGGUGGCGUUGAAAGGACAGGUAUGUUAAGAUAAGAUUGUGUGCAUGAAUGUAUGUCUUUUUGUCCAAAUUUCCUCUAGGUGGUGUAAAGGAUCAAAAGGAAAGGUAUGUUAAGAUAAGAUUGUGUGCAUGUUUAAAUGUCUUUUUGUCCAAAUUUCCUCUAGGUGGCGUCAAAAGGACAGGUAUGUUAAGAUAAGAUUGUGUGCAUGAAUGUAUGUCCUUUUGUCCAAAUUUCCUCUAGGUGGCGUCAAAGGUACAGUAGGACAGGUAUGUUAAGAUAAGAUUGUGUGCAUUUUUGUAUGUUUUUUUGUCCAAAUUUCCUCUAGGUGGCGUAAAGGAUCAAAAGGACAGGUAUUUUAAGAUAAGAUUGUGUGCAUGAAUGUAUGACUUUUUGUCCAAAUUUCCUCUAGGUGGCGUAAAAGGUACAGUAGGAUAGGUAUGUUAAGAUAAGAUUGUGUGCAUUUUUGUAUGUUUUUUUGUCCAAAUUUCCUCUAGGUGGCGUCAAAGGAUCAAAAGGACAGGUAUGUUAAGAUAAGAUUGUGUGCAUGAAUGUAUGUCUUUUUGACCAAAUUUAUUAAGAUGAUUUAAGUUUGUAUUACAGAUGGAAGAGCCCAGAUGAAAGUCCAGUCCUAGACCUGAAGGAAAAUUGUUGUAUGUUAGGUGCCAGAUAAUGAUGAUGCAAAAAGAGCAUACCGGUAGAUACAGAAAAUUUUGCCAUUGACACAGAUCUGGAAAGAAGCUUAAAGGAAGGACCAAGUUUCAGUCGAGAUGGCAGAUGAGUAGCAACUCCAUGGAAGAAGUUUACUUAGAUCUUCAACAAGUCCGAGGCUUUGCCAUGUCAGCAAUCAAGCAGCAAGGAUAGCAGCUGGAAUGAAGAUUAAUUAUCACAUUGAUCUUCAAACAAGUCUGAGGCUUAGUCAUGAAAGAA